GCUGGAGAUCCCUUUUCUGUGGAGUUUUUUUCUGUGAGCCUAGGCCUUGGGAGAUGGGAGCAGAAUAUCAAAAUGUCCACAGCACCUUGUUCUUUCAAACGUGUAGCAAUGUCUCUUUUUCUUGUUGUCUUAGAGAUGCCACUGAAAAAUUUAAAUGUACUGUAACUCCAAAAUCAUAAUUAGCAAUAACAUGAAUAUUAAUAAAAAAUACAGCUCUACUCCUUUAUGAAGGAUGGUGUUAAAGAUAGCUGCUAAUUUGUGGGCACUCUUAAAAGAGCUGUAACUCUGGAAUGACCCCAGUUUUAACAUAAGAUGUGGAAAAGCUCAGAUGUGUAAGGUAAACACUGACCUGUUUGGAUUCCUGAUACUUGAAAACAAAUAACUGAUUAAAAUAUAUAUGGUAAAAGGGGAAGCUGGCUCCCAGGCUUAAAAACUCACAUUCCAACUCCAAAUGAAUUUUCAUAAUGAAGUUGUUCUUUGUUAAAUGAUGCCACACCUAGAAUGUCCUCUAAUGGAAACAAUGCUGGAUGUGGAUAAAUUCAGGAGUGGGUGCCAUCGUAACAGAAAGCCAGGUUUUUACUCCAGCUCUUUAUGUGCAGAGCAUAAAUCACUCCUGUUAAGGACCUUGUGUCCUCCUGUCCCAGAGGAAAGUGUAGGAUGCUCUGUGAAAAAUGGCUUGCUUGCUCCUGCUGCAGCAUGGUUAACGCAUCCAGCGAGUGUCCCAGAGAUGUGAGCUCCUGCCUCAAGACAGCCCCUGGCACAGGGCCAGUUCUCCUCGUAAAUGGGUCUCUGUCCAGUGUCAGGAGUUGGUAACAGCCAGACAGCUGAGACACAAUGCUCUCUUGUGUGCCACCAGCUACAGAAGCUACUGUGCUUUAACUGCUCUUUGGGUCUGCUAAACCUCUGUCAACCACAGACAUGCUCUCCAUUAAAGAACAAAAGUCUAUGAAAUCUCUCAAUGGCAUUGGAUUUCCAGAAGCACAAAGAAUACCCACAAGGCAUUUCCAGAGAUCCUGAAGUGUUGUUUUGGCUCCAGAUGGUUCCUUUCGUGGAACCCAAAUCCUGCUGAAAUCAGAGUGCUCUUUAUGUAGAAAAACAGUUGAAAUGACCCUUUAGUCCCUUUCUGUCUGUCUGUCCCAAAGGCAGUCAGUUGAACAGUGAGCUACAAAUUGCCCGCUCAUUUUAAUCCAACUGGCUUAUAUGUUCACCUAGUCAUUUGGAAAUGCAAACCAUACAGAGCAAACCAACAAGCUACAAGACAAAGAGCUACAUUGCUGUUCAGAUUAAGGAAAAAAAAAAAAAAGCAUCUAAAGCCAUUAGCUUCAAUUUUAGUUUUCUGUUUAUACAAAGGACUCAAUAGCCUGACUGUAAAGAAGACAUUAUCCUCAUAGCAGCAGAAACGACUUUGUUUCAGGUGCAUUCCCACUGCUUUGUUUGGAUGCAGAGUUCCAAGCUCAUCAAAGCCUGCCUGGAUGUAUCUGUCUGAUGGAGGAGGACAGGAAAGCAAGCCCAGCAUCCAGGGUGCAGCAAGGAUAAAUGAUUGUGAAUGAUAGAUUGUUUCUGUUUACUACACGUUCCAUCAUAAAGCUUUAUGGAAAGCAUUCCAGGACAGGGAUAGGUGAACAAGAUAUUCCUAACAUGAGCAGUGAUGGUUCAAAAGUUCAGCU
Gallus gallus (chicken) is the source of this 1667-nucleotide long non-coding RNA. The record is from Ensembl. Lineage: Eukaryota; Metazoa; Chordata; Aves; Galliformes; Phasianidae.